UACAGAGGAUGCAAGCGUUAUCCGGAAUGAUUGGGCGUAAAGCGUCUGUAGGUGGCUUUUUAAGUCCGCCGUCAAAUCCCAGGGCUCAACUCUGGACAGGCGGUGGAAACUACCAAGCUGGAGUACGGUAGGGGCAGAGGGAAUUUCCGGUGGAGCGGUGAAAUGCGUAGAGAUCGGAAAGAACACCAACGGCGUAGGCAGCGCCCUGGCUGUGAAUAAAGCUGACACUGAGGCACGAAAGCUGGGGGAGCAAACAGG
This 258-nucleotide ribosomal RNA is filed under the name uncultured bacterium. Its description in RNAcentral is "partial 16S ribosomal RNA". It matches the Rfam family "Bacterial small subunit ribosomal RNA", at positions 524 to 776 of the family's 1533-position model. The record is from RNAcentral.